This is a long non-coding RNA of Piliocolobus tephrosceles (Ugandan red Colobus), 368 nucleotides long. RefSeq lists it as uncharacterized. The record is from RefSeq and is a predicted model, not a curated record. The transcript has 2 exons. NCBI's taxonomy places the organism in Eukaryota, Metazoa, Chordata, Mammalia, Primates, Cercopithecidae.
GCUGAAUCCCCUACGCGGUAUACGAAGGGCGCACUCACUAAACUUCCUCCGUCCCUUUUAUUCUCAGGGCCCACCCGGAAGGACGACUGAGCAAGGCCUUGGAAAACCAGAGAAAUUAGGGCGCAGAAUGGGGAAAUGGAGAGAGAACCGGAAAGAGCCCCAAACUCGAGGACCUGUUGCUCCCAAAGAAUAACAUCUUCCAGAACUAGACAGAAACCUAGGCGUUUGGGAGCCCUGAAAUCCUUGGAGGAGUAGCAUCAUCAUGACCCUCUGUGUUCCUUUUUGCAAAGGACUUGCUUCCAUUGUUUGUUUGUUCAAUUGUCUGUUAAAUAAAUAAAUAAAACCCUUUUCAUAUCUCUUUAAAAUUA